CCAGCAGCCGCGGUAAUACGUAGGGGGCUAGCGUUAUCCGGAUUUACUGGGCGUAAAGGGUGCGUAGGCGGUCUUUCAAGUCAGGAGUGAAAGGCUACGGCUCAACCGUAGUAAGCUCUUGAAACUGUAAGACUUGAGUGCAGGAGAGGAGAGUGGAAUUCCUAGUGUAGCGGUGAAAUGCGUAGAUAUUAGGAGGAACACCAGUUGCGAAGGCGGCUCUCUGGACUGUAACUGACGCUGAGGCACGAAAGCGUGGGGAGCAAACAGGAUUAGAUACCCUGGUAGUCCACGCCGUAAACGAUGAGUACUAGCUGUCGGAGGUUACCCCCUUCGGUGGCGCAGCUAACGCAUUAAGUACUCCGCCUGGGAAGUACGCUCGCAAAGUGAAACUCAAAGGAAUUGACGGGACCCGCACAAGUAGCGGAGCAUGUGGUUUAAUUCGAAGCAACGCGAAAACUUACCUAAGCUUGACAUCCACUGACCUUCCUAAUCGGAGCUUCCUUCGGGACAGUGGUGACAGGGGUGCAUGGUUGUCGUCAGCUCGUGUCGUGAGAUGUUGGGUUAAGUCCCGCAACGAGCGCAACCCUUGCCUUUAGUUGCCAGCAUUAAGUUGGGCACUCUAGAGGGACUGCCAGGGAUAACCUGGAGGAAGGUGGGGAUGACGUCAAAUCAUCAUGCCCCUUAUGCUUAGGGCUACACACGUGCUACAAUGGGUGGUACAGAGGGCAGCCAAGUCGUGAGGCGGAGCUAAUCCCUUAAAGCCAUUCUCAGUUCGGAUUGUAGGCUGAAACUCGCCUACAUGAAGCUGGAGUUACUAGUAAUCGCAGAUCAGAAUGCUGCGGUGAAUGCGUUCCCGGGUCUUGUACACACCGCCCGUCACACCAUGGGAGUUGGGGGCGCCCGAAGCCGGAUUGCUAACCUUUUGGAAGCGUCCGUCGAAGGUGAAACCAAUAACUGGGGUGAAGUCGUAACAAGGUAGCCGAU
Molecule: ribosomal RNA, 984 nt
Filed under: uncultured Bacillota bacterium
Lineage: Bacteria; Bacillati; Bacillota
Description: bacterial SSU rRNA
Rfam family: Bacterial small subunit ribosomal RNA
Source: RNAcentral